RNAcentral lists this ribosomal RNA (460 nucleotides) under uncultured bacterium. RNAcentral describes it as "partial 16S ribosomal RNA". It matches the Rfam family "Bacterial small subunit ribosomal RNA", at positions 338 to 795 of the family's 1533-position model. The record is from RNAcentral.
CCUACGGGAGGCAGCAGUGAGGAAUAUUGGUCAAUGGGCGGGAGCCUGAACCAGCCAAGUCGCGUGAGGGAAGACGGUCCUAUGGAUUGUAAACCUCUUUAGGCGGGGAGCAAUGCCGGGCACGCGUGCCCGGAGGGAGAGUACCCGCAGAAUAAGCAUCGGCUAACUCCGUGCCAGCAGCCGCGGUAAUACGGAGGAUGCGAGCGUUAUCCGGAUUUAGUGGGUUUAAAGGGUGCGCAGGCGGCGAGUUAAGUCAGCGGUAAAAUUUCGGGGCUCAACCCCGACAAGCCGUUGAAACUGGAUUGCUAGAGUGGGCGAGAAGCAUGCGGAAUGCGUGGUGUAGCGGUGAAAUGCAUAGAUAUCACGCAGAACUCCGAUUGCGAAGGCAGCAUACCGGCGCCCAUCUGACGCUCAGGCACGAAGGCGUGGGUAUCGAACAGGAUUAGAUACCCUUGUAGUC